This 641-nucleotide ribosomal RNA is filed under the name uncultured Paracoccaceae bacterium. RNAcentral describes it as "bacterial SSU rRNA". It matches the Rfam family "Bacterial small subunit ribosomal RNA", at positions 61 to 749 of the family's 1533-position model. The record is from RNAcentral. Lineage: Bacteria; Pseudomonadati; Pseudomonadota; Alphaproteobacteria; Rhodobacterales; Paracoccaceae.
GUCGAGCGCGACUUCGGGUUGAGCGGCGGACGGGUUAGUAACGCGUGGGAACGUACCCAGAUCUAAGGAAUAGCCACUGGAAACGGUGAGUAAUACCUUAUACGCCCUUCGGGGGAAAGAUUUAUCGGAUUUGGAUCGGCCCGCGUUAGAUUAGGUAGUUGGUGGGGUAAUGGCCUACCAAGCCUACGAUCUAUAGCUGGUUUUAGAGGAUGAUCAGCAACACUGGGACUGAGACACGGCCCAGACUCCUACGGGAGGCAGCAGUGGGGAAUCUUGGACAAUGGGCGAAAGCCUGAUCCAGCCAUGCCGCGUGAGUGAUGAAGGCCCUAGGGCCGUAAAGCUCUUUCGCCAGGGAUGAUAAUGACAGUACCUGGUAAAGAAACCCCGGCUAACUCCGUGCCAGCAGCCGCGGUAAUACGGAGGGGGUUAGCGUUGUUCGGAAUUACUGGGCGUAAAGCGCACGUAGGCGGAUUAGUCAGUCAGAGGUGAAAUCCCAGGGCUCAACCCUGGAACUGCCUUUGAUACUGCUAGUCUUGAGUUCGAGAGAGGUGAGUGGAAUUCCGAGUGUAGAGGUGAAAUUCGUAGAUAUUCGGAGGAACACCAGUGGCGAAGGCGGCUCACUGGCUCGAUACUGACGCUGA